This 1169-nucleotide long non-coding RNA is filed under the name Salmo salar (Atlantic salmon). Its description in RNAcentral is "lncRNA (ENSSSAG00000064157.2)". The record is from RNAcentral. Lineage: Eukaryota; Metazoa; Chordata; Actinopteri; Salmoniformes; Salmonidae.
GUUUUUGGAGUUUGAGUGUUUGGUGUGGAGGGCUCUGUCCUAACUAACUUUCUAGAUUAUUUUCUUGCUCUUUUCUUUACAUUUUAUUUUCUAUGGUGUACGGUUAAUGCAAUAUUUGUUUUAGCGGUAUCCACAGUUGUUUUUCAAAGUUAGGGUGGAAGAGGACAGAGUAAGUUUCCUGGGGUUUGGAAGGUGUGGUGAGCGCGAUGGCUUCUCAGCCUAGCGCGGAGGAGACGCUGUCGAUACGGCAUGGAUUCAGGUGUGUUCCUGAGAAUGUAGUUAAGGUGGAGGAGGUUCUGCUCGCAGUCGGUGAACAGCGGAUCCUCAAUCGAGGGAACUCCCGCUUCAUACGUGAACUGAAGACCCGCUGGGGGACCUUUUACAACCAGGCACAGUUUAAUGGAGUGUUCAAAAAGGUCAUGAAGGCACCGCUGCUGGACAACGUGAAGCACUCAAUCGCCAUCAUGAAGGCUUUACCAGAUAUGUUCCCAUCACCUGUGGCUCCCCCCGAAGAAGUUAGGACAUGCAAGUGAGGCUAUGCGUCACAUCCUUGAGUCUGCAGAAGACCCCAACACCUUUCUUCAGGAGAGACCACUCUUCAGCCCUGUCGUGAUUGUCUGUGAAACCAACUGCGUUCUGGCCAUUGGAACCAUACCUGUGGUGACCUUCCCAAAAGAGGACAUCUAUGCCAGCGUGACAUAUCUCAUGGCAUGUUAUUACGCCUUUCACCUCACAUAUCCCAAGUGCAUUGCGACACUCCUCUCUGUGCUGCAGAUAGAAGUCCUCUCAGACGCCAUCCACGACCGGGACAUGACUUCUUCAUAGAAAAAGGCUAUGGCCGAGUGGAAAAAGUUCAUUACUGACUAGGUUUGCACGAUACAAUUUUUUAAUUUCCGGUCCCGAUAACAGAACUGGUUGUAUUGGCCGAUCCGAGAACAGAUCCAAUAACCUUUAAUAAAUAGGCAGGGCGUUUGUUGUUUAUUAUAAGAAGGUUUAAAGCACUGUUACGUUUGUUAUCUUGCCAUAGGUCUUACAUUUUCAUUUUUACCUUGACCACCAAUGGCCUUUGUUGUUGUUGUUUUUGAAUCCUUUGUUCUGCCCAUAUCAGCCGCUGGAUAUACUGAGUCCUCAAUAAAGAAGUGAAAAGAAAUUAGAUUCAUUCUUUCUUU